RNAcentral lists this ribosomal RNA (490 nucleotides) under uncultured bacterium. RNAcentral's name for it is "partial 16S ribosomal RNA". It matches the Rfam family "Bacterial small subunit ribosomal RNA", at positions 30 to 507 of the family's 1533-position model. The record is from RNAcentral.
AUUGAACGCUGGCGGCAGGCCUAACACAUGCAAGUCGAACGGCAACAGGAAGCAGCUUGCUGCUUCGCUGACGAGUGGCGGACGGGUGAGUAAUGUCUGGGAAACUGCCUGAUGGAGGGGGAUAACUACUGGAAACGGUAGCUAAUACCGCAUAACGUCGCAAGACCAAAGAGGGGGACCUUAGGGCCUCUUGCCAUCGGAUGUGCCCAGAUGGGAUUAGCUAGUAGGUGGGGUAACGGCUCACCUAGGCGACGAUCCCUAGCUGGUCUGAGAGGAUGACCAGCCACACUGGAACUGAGACACGGUCCAGACUCCUACGGGAGGCAGCAGUGGGGAAUAUUGCACAAUGGGCGCAAGCCUGAUGCAGCCAUGCCGCGUGUAUGAAGAAGGCCUUCGGGUUGUAAAGUACUUUCAGCGGGGGGGAAGGGAGUAAAGUUAAUACCUUUGCUCAUUGACGUUACCCGCAGAAGAAGCACCGGCUAACUCCGUG